This 205-nucleotide unclassified non-coding RNA is filed under the name Hevea brasiliensis (rubber tree). The record is from RNAcentral. Lineage: Eukaryota; Viridiplantae; Streptophyta; Magnoliopsida; Malpighiales; Euphorbiaceae.
GUUAUAGGUUAUAAUAUUGAAAGAAAUUCCUUUAUUCUUGGCAAAAUUACAGAGAUCUAAUGCCCUGUCAAUAUGUCCUCCUUUGCAAAGGCCGUCAAUAACAAUUGAGUAGUCAACCACAUCCAAGAGUGGUAGCUUAUCUCCCGCUCCCAUAACAAGGUCAAAAGCAUCCAGAUAUCGGCCACCUUUUGUCAGUGUCCUCAAA